Long non-coding RNA from Oppia nitens, 622 nucleotides. RefSeq lists it as uncharacterized. NCBI's taxonomy places the organism in Eukaryota, Metazoa, Arthropoda, Arachnida, Sarcoptiformes, Oppiidae. The transcript is spliced from 4 exons. The record is from RefSeq and is a predicted model, not a curated record.
UUCAAAUGGAUGCCAAUUAUUCAAACAAACAAAAAUGUCUGAUUUGUGGCGAUAAAUCAAAUGGCUAUCAUUUCAAUGCCAUAACUUGCGAGUCGUGUAAAUCAUUUUUCAGGAGAAAUGCAUUAAAAUAUAAAGAUCGAUACAAAUGCUAUUCGGGCGGCAAUUGUAUGAUAACUGUUGACAAUCGGAUCAAAUGCAAGAAAUGCCGACUCGACCGGUGUUUUUCAGUCGGUAUGAAAACUAGAGCGAAAAGUUUCGGACCCGUACCUGACCCGUACCUGAUCUGAUACCUAAAAUCUCGGACUCGGACCUGACCUAACAUAGGGUACAAAUUUACCUGACCUGACCUGACCUGACUAUGUCUGUCCGAAAAUAAUUUUAUCAAAAAACAAUUUUAUUUAUUCUAUACCCGCAACAAAUUUCUCUAAAUUAACUUUAAUUACUCGGGAUUAACGAUAACUGAUUGUAGAUCUAACUUAGAUUCUAAUAAAGUUAAUAUGUUAUUAUUUAUUAGAUCAAAACCAUCAUCUUUUGUAAUAUUUUAUGUUUAAUUUAUACAACUAUUUUAUAAAUAAUAAUUUAAUAAAUUUUGUGUUUGAUUGUCAUAUUUUGUAAUAAUUGU